AGAGUUUGAUUCUGGCUCAGGAUGAACGCUGGCGGCAUGCCUAAUACAUGCAAGUCGAACGAGAGGAAGGAAAGCUUGCUUUUCUGAAUCUAGUGGCGAACGGGUGAGUAACACGUAGGUAACCUGCCCAUGUGCCCGGGAUAACUUCUGGAAACGGAUGCUAAAACCGGAUAGGUAGCAGACAAGCAUUUGACUGCUAUUAAAGUGGCUAAGGCCAUGAACAUGGAUGGACCUGCGGUGCAUUAGCUAGUUGGUGAGGUAACGGCCCACCAAGGCGACGAUGCAUAGCCGGCCUGAGAGGGCGGACGGCCACAUUGGGACUGAGACACGGCCCAA
This 336-nucleotide ribosomal RNA is filed under the name uncultured bacterium. RNAcentral describes it as "bacterial SSU rRNA". It matches the Rfam family "Bacterial small subunit ribosomal RNA", at positions 8 to 334 of the family's 1533-position model. The record is from RNAcentral.